GAUGAACGCUAGCUACAGGCUUAACACAUGCAAGUCGAGGGGCAGCAUGGUCUUAGCUUGCUAAGGCCGAUGGCGACCGGCGCACGGGUGAGUAACACGUAUCCAACCUGCCGUCUACUCUUGGACAGCCUUCUGAAAGGAAGAUUAAUACAAGAUGGCAUCAUGAGUCCGCAUGUUCACAUGAUUAAAGGUAUUCCGGUAGACGAUGGGGAUGCGUUCCAUUAGAUAGUAGGCGGGGUAACGGCCCACCUAGUCUUCGAUGGAUAGGGGUUCUGAGAGGAAGGUCCCCCACAUUGGAACUGAGACACGGUCCAAACUCCUACGGGAGGCAGCAGUGAGGAAUAUUGGUCAAAUGGGCGAGAGCCUGAACCAGCCAAGUAGCGUGAAGGAUGACUGCCCUAUGGGUUGUAAACUUCUUUUAUAAAGGAAUAAAGUCGGGUAUGGAUACCCGUUUGCAUGUACUUUAUGAAUAAGGAUCGGCUAACUCCGUGCCAG
This 495-nucleotide ribosomal RNA is filed under the name uncultured bacterium. RNAcentral describes it as "bacterial SSU rRNA". It matches the Rfam family "Bacterial small subunit ribosomal RNA", at positions 28 to 511 of the family's 1533-position model. The record is from RNAcentral.